UGGGGAAUCUUGCGCAAUGGGCGGAAGCCUGACGCAGCAACGCCGCGUGAACGAAGAAGGCCUUCGGGUUGUAAAGUUCUGUCAGGGGGGACGAAGAGGUGACGGUACCCCCAGAGGAAGCCCCGGCUAACUACGUGCCAGCAGCCGCGGUAACACGUAGGGGGCGAGCGUUGUCCGGAAUUACUGGGCGUAAAGGGCGUGUAGGCGGCCGAUCAAGUCAGGUGUGAAAAAUCAGGGCUUAACCCUGAUCGUGCACUUGAAACUGGUUGGCUUGAGUGCAGGAGAGGAAAGUGGAAUUCCCAGUGUAGCGGUGAAAUGCGUAGAUAUUGGGAGGAACACCAGUGGCGAAGGCGACUUUCUGGACUGCAACUGACGCUGAGGCGCGAAAGCUAGGGGAGCAAACAGG
RNAcentral lists this ribosomal RNA (406 nucleotides) under uncultured bacterium. Its description in RNAcentral is "bacterial SSU rRNA". It matches the Rfam family "Bacterial small subunit ribosomal RNA", at positions 355 to 776 of the family's 1533-position model. The record is from RNAcentral.